ACCGACGCACCACCGCGCGGCCCGACGGCUCCGGCGGAAGGCUCGGUGGUGAACGCUUUCGACUCUGCCCUUUCUCUCCCUCCGAGUCACAAUCGAGCCCUAACCGCGCGGCCUCCAUCUUCGCAGUCACCGAAUCGCAACGAAUUUAGAGGAUUUACACUGACGACGCCGCCCCGUUGCCUCCAUCUCCGUCUCGAAAGCCUCGAAAGGUAUGAUCUGGGUAAUCGUUCGACCAAGCCCUAACCGCGCAGCCUCUGCCUCCGCCUCCGCCUCCCCGAAUCUUGACGAACUCAGAGGGUUUACACUGACGACGUCGCCCCGUUGCCUCUGCCUCCGCCUCAAAAGGUACGAUUAGGGUAAUCAUCCAACCAAGCCCUAACCAUGCGGCCUCUGCUGCCGCCGAAUCUCAACGAACCCAGGGGGUUUACACUGACGAUGCCGCCCCGUCGCCUCCGCCUCCGUCUUGAAAGGUAUGAUUAGAAUAAUCGCCGACUCGUGGACUAUAGCCUCUGUACAUUAGAAUGAUUAUUGUUUAACUCGUGGACUAUAAGCUCUGUACAAUAGAAUAGAAUGACUAUAAGCGGAUUAUUGUCUAACUUCUGUAUUUUAGAAUGAUUAUUGUUUGACGAGGUUUACACUGACGACGUCGCCCCGUUGCCUCUGCCUCCGCCUCAAAAGGUACGAUUAGGGUAAUCAUCCAACCAAGCCCUAACCAUGCGGCCUCUGCCGCCGCCGAAUCUCAACGAACCCAGGGGGUUUACACUGACGAUGCCGCCCCGUCGCCUCCGCCUCCGUCUUGAAAGGUAUGAUUAGAAUAAUCGCCGACUCGUGGACUAUAGCCUCUGUACAUUAGAAUGAUUAUUGUUUAACUCGUGGACUAUAAGCUCUGUACAAUAGAAUAGAAUGACUAUAAGCGGAUUAUUGUCUAACUUCUGUAUUUUAGAAUGAUUAUUGUUUGACGAAUGGAAAGCUUCCUCCAUCUGUGGAUUUCGCAUGCAUGUGUAAGUAUGUUUAAAGCUGUUACGCGUGAAUUCAUGUCGUGCUUCUGGUAUAAUACAAUCGUGAGCCCAAGUAAUUCACAUCUUUGGCAAUCUUUUAAUUAGACACGUUCGGUGCAGAUGAUGUUUGACCUUUAAUUAGAAGUUGAAAAUUUGUGUGAAGCCAUCCUUAUAUUAUGUUUGCAUACCUAGGAUUUAGCUAUUUACUUAUGAAGGGUGCAGAUGAUGUUUGACCUUUAAUUAGAAGUUGAAAAUUUGUGUGAAGCCAUCCUUAUAUUAUGUUUGCAUACCUAGGAUUUAGCUAUUUACUUAUGAAGGGUGCGUUUGGGAAGACUUUGGGGAAAAGUCCUUGAGAAAAUGUAAACGUCUUAGUGUUUUUCAAAAUUGUCUUUGAGUUAAGGGUGUUUUUCAAAAUACAAAGUGUGCUUGGUAAAUUUACUUGUGAAAGUGCAUUGUGAAAUAUUUUUGUUCAAAAUAGUGUUUGGAUGAAUUAAAAAUGCAAAAGGCUUUUUAUUAUUAAAAAGAAAAGGAAUGUUGGCCGGCCAAGGCUUCGCCGGUUACUACCGGCCAACGGCUUCACCGGUCACCGCCGGCCAACGGCUUCACUGGUCAUCGCCAACCAAGGGUAGGCGAUUCAGCAAGGGUUGCGACGACCCUCCCCGUGCCGUCGUGCGACCCAUCGCGCCGCGGAGGUCGUCGACGACCUAUCUGGUCGUGCGCGGAGGUCGAAGGCCAGCGACCACAUCUAGUUGCGACCAGAUGGGUCGCGACCUCCGUGGAGGUCGCCUGAAGCAUGGCCAGUGACGCAGAUCUGGUCGCUACCAGAUCUACAUUGC
RNAcentral lists this long non-coding RNA (1834 nucleotides) under Eucalyptus grandis. RNAcentral's name for it is "long non-coding RNA (EGRA_LNC001103)". The record is from RNAcentral. Lineage: Eukaryota; Viridiplantae; Streptophyta; Magnoliopsida; Myrtales; Myrtaceae.